Molecule: ribosomal RNA, 468 nt
Filed under: uncultured bacterium
Lineage: Bacteria
Description: bacterial SSU rRNA
Rfam family: Bacterial small subunit ribosomal RNA
Source: RNAcentral
AGAGUUUGAUCCUGGCUCAGAACGAACGCUGGCGGCAGGCCUAACACAUGCAAGUCGAACGAGAAAGUGGAGCAAUCCAUGAGUAAAGUGGCGACCGGGUGAGUAACACGUGACUAACCUACCUUUCGAGUGGGGGAUAACCUCGGGAAACCGAGGCUAAUACCGCAUAACAUCGCAAGAUCAAAGCAGCAAUGCGCUGGAAGAGGGGGUCGCGGCUGAUUAGCUAGUUGGCGGGGUAACGGCCCACCAAGGCGAAGAUCGGUAGCCGGCCUGAGAGGGCGCACGGCCACACUGGAACUGAAACACGGUCCAGACUCCUACGGGAGGCAGCAGUGGGGAAUUUUGCGCAAUGGGGGAAACCCUGACGCAGCAACGCCGCGUGGAGGAUGAAGCCCCUUGGGGCGUAAACUCCUUUCGACCAAGACGAUAAUGACGGUACUGGUGGAAGAAGCACCGGCUAACUCUGUG